GUGUCGCGUCCCGGGACCGGACGAUAGGAGGCAUGUUCUGCGCUAGCACCGUGACUUUGUUCCCAGCGUGGGGACUGUGGGAGAGAUGGAGAGAGACUGGUACAGAAAUGGUGAGACAAGGAGAGAGCCAUAAAGAGGAAGACAGAGAGAAAGAAGACAAAUGCAUAAAGAGGUUCAGAGACGUGUGACUAUGGAGAUCGAAGGCCUGGUUUUAGGGCUAGCGAACACCUUCUCGCUUUGGUUUUGGUCCACAGAAGACUGGUGAUACAGAGCAUCCUCGCCAGGAGAGGCAGAGUCCAUGGAGCAGCCGAGACAGCUGUGGAGGAGAAGGUGCCACGCGGAGCUAUUGAGAGAGAGGGAAGGGCACCCCGUCACUACACACAGCAAAAAAUGACCUUCUGCCAAAGAAGCUGAUGGUUCAGGAAGAAAAUAGGAGAGCUGACUAUCCCUGAAGGAAAAGGAAACGUGGUACUGUUUUGCUUUAUCACAAAUACAAACAAAAGGUUUAAAGAUGGAAAGAAAAGAACAGAAAGGAAAAAGAGUGAAAAGCCAGGAAAAGCACCUAGGAGCAACAGCUCUCUGCUGCCAUACU
This 592-nucleotide non-coding RNA is filed under the name Pongo abelii (Sumatran orangutan). Lineage: Eukaryota; Metazoa; Chordata; Mammalia; Primates; Hominidae. The record is from RNAcentral.